UCAAAGUAUUGCAUGUUGCUGCCUGCCCUCUCAUGACUGGGAUCUUGGGUGGGAGAAAAGGGCAAAAAGAAAAAAGAGAGAGAGAACAAGAGGAUAGUUAAGUUAAACUUAAGUUACACUACCUGAUCAAAGACAGCCUUCAGGCCUAUAACACUAUCCCAGUUAUUUUUGUGGAGACAAGAAUUAUCUCACUCGGUUGUACCUUAAACGCCCAUAAACUGAGCAUCUGGACUUAUACUCACAAUAGAACAUUCCACCCAAGCAAUUGGAUAAGGAAUAGUGCACUCCCUCCAAAAGAAAGUAAAGCUCUCCUUUUGGUAGCGGUAUUAAUGGAGAACCAAAACACAACCAACAAGUUUAACAAAGCUAGUUAAGAAGCAGAAAGCAUCCAACAGUCACCUGGGAAUUCUCCUUUUGAUAUCAUCUCAGCGUCCAGUUUGUAUGUAUCCUGC
Molecule: long non-coding RNA, 452 nt
Organism: Hemicordylus capensis (graceful crag lizard)
Lineage: Eukaryota; Metazoa; Chordata; Lepidosauria; Squamata; Cordylidae
Exons: 3
Source: RefSeq, a predicted model, not a curated record